This is an RNA transcript of Humulus lupulus (European hop), 2579 nucleotides long. RefSeq lists it as uncharacterized. The transcript has 4 exons. NCBI's taxonomy places the organism in Eukaryota, Viridiplantae, Streptophyta, Magnoliopsida, Rosales, Cannabaceae. The record is from RefSeq and is a predicted model, not a curated record.
UUUGCCACGAGUCCCACAUUGCUCAGAAAACAAUUGUUACAUAUGUUUAUAUACUCUAAUGUCAGAAGGUAAGCUCGUCCCUUCGGGGACAUCCGAUAAAAUUGGAACGAUACAGAGAAGAUUAGCAUGGCCCCUGCGCAAGGAUGACACGCACAAAUCGAGAAAUGGUCCAAAUUUUUUUAUACAAUUCUAUGCUUGUUUUUCCUUAUGAUUCCAUUCACCAAAGCACCGCUGCAAAUCUCUCUGAUUUCAUUUACUUUUUUCCUUCAGUAAUGGAGUGGUUUUCCUCUUGUGCUGUUAAGCCAACAUUCUGGUCUCGAAGUCUUUCACUUAAACUAUUGAGGUAAGCUUUUUGAAAGACUCGGAAUGUUUCGUGUCCAAAAUUAUUUGUUGCUUUUAUUACAAUAAGUUCACUGAGGAGAUCAUAGUUUUAUGCAUCGAGUGUUUAUGUGUUUAGACAUCUUCAACGAGAAGAAUAUUGUCCCCACCUCUGUAAAGGUUGAAUUGAUUAAAAUGUUAGUUUCUAAGUUUUGUCUCACCUAAAUGGGUUCCACGGUAAACAAUUUGGUAAUUAUGUGGAAAAAUGAUUGCAUUCAAAGGGGUUAUUUUUCUCCUCUGCACUUUUCAUUUUUUGUUUUUAUUGUCAUUCUUCUUAUGUAUGUGUCAGUUAAUGCCAUUACUUUCACUUAGGCUUUUUUUGUGUGAGUUGUAGACUUGUAGCUGCGUUGGUUGCUAGAAAUGAAAAAAGCAUUAUUUUUACUUGUUCCUGCUUCUUUUCAUGCUGUUGAAUUUAUUGUCAAUUUUUUUUACUCAUUGAGAAUCACUGUGUAUCUGCUUUAUUUUAUCUUAUCAUUUUUGUAUCAUAGUUUCUUUAGUUUGUCAAUUUUGCUUUUCAUGGUUGGAGUUCUAAACCUUUCUCAUCUUUAGUUUGAUGGACUUAUAUUUCACUGGUAUCUUGUUUCUCUUUGAGCUAUCAGAUGCUAAGGAUGUAAUGGAAGCAAUUCAAGAUGUUGACAAGCAAGUCUGAGAACAGACUAAAGAAUUUACAACCAGAAAAACUCUUAAACAACUACAAACCAGAAAAAUACAAUUAAAAGAAACUCCAGUUUCCAACUAAAUCAGCAAAAAAUAAACCCGUAAAACUCCUUUACAUUUAGUACUCAUUUAGCUGCCCAAUAUCUGAAUUUAUUCCACAGAUGAGGAGAAGUCUCCUCAGUAUCUUCAAAAAUUCAUCUAUUGCGCUCCAAGCAAAUCGCUCAUCACAUGGCCAUGGCUGCUAGCCUGCUACACCCCAAAAAUCUCAUGACAAUGCUGCUGGAAUACCCACUGUAUAUUGAACUCUCCGAACAAAGUUCUCAGCUGUUAACGAUCAAAUUGCUGAAUGAUUAUUGAAAAGAUCAAAAUGAAUGUGCAUUUUCUGAUACCAAUUUGACAAUUCUUUUCUUGAUCAUUAGGAAGUAAUCGAGUCAGUCACCCACUCACCACCAAAAGUAUUUGACAAUGGAGUUACCUCUAUGGAUCAUGAUCACACAGGUUAGCUCAUUUUUUGUGGUGAUUCACUGGGGUGUAUGUACUCUGUAAGUAUGAAUUCUCACACAGCAGCAUUAUCCCGUUCUCAUCGAUAUCGAGACAGUAGCAGGAAAAAAUCUGCCGUCACAACUGUGCAAUGCCGGAGUUUCUCUCUGAUGGCUCGUAGCCCAGUGUUGUUGACAUGUACUCAAGAUGGAAAUUUAACUUUCUUCAGUAUUGCUCUAGAAGUUCGAGGCUAUUUGACUCUUCUCUGCUCUCUCAAAUUAACCCCGCGAAUACACAGCAUCCGGGCUUCCUUCUGUCCUCUACUUUCCCCCGAGAAAGGAGAAUAUAUUGGUCUGUUAUGCAUCUUCCAAUUUCAAGUGAACCGUUAUGCUUCUAUAUAGAAAACUGACAUUGUGAUUUUCUUUUAUUACUUAGUGGCGGUAAGUGAGGAUUCGAAUGUAUACUUCUAGGAUCUAACUCGGCCAAAGCAUACAUGUGUAAACAAGCUACAGGCGCAGUCUUGUUGGCUUAAAAGGUUUCAAUAGCUCAUCUUAGUUCAGUUUAAAUGUCAACUGACCAAAACAUAUGGAACUUGCAGGGUCAAAGGUUUCCGGUUAUGGAUGUUGCCUGGAAUCAUGGAGCAAACUUAUUGGCUUCGUCUGAUUUUUUAUGGCACAGUUAUUGUGUGGAAGAGAUCAAAGACGAGUUAAGACCAAAAUAUAUACCAACAACAAGCCAUUAGUGACAGAUCACAAAACUCUGAACUGGAGUGGUGUGGUGUGGAGUCUCAAGAAAGACUUCAAUUUGCCAUUCUUUUUUGGAGAGUGGAAACCAUUGAACCAUUUUUACCAAAUGUGUCACACCAAGUAUUGCAUUAUAAUUGAUUGUUGUAUCAGUCACAGACUCACAGAUUUAUUUAUUUAUUUUUAAAUCAAUCACAGUUAGUUACCUACGUAUUUUUUGAAUCGAAUAUGUCUACAUUAUUUUUCCAUUUCAAUCUUCUCAGCAAUGUUAUCAUUUUGUAAAAUUUGAGGAUAAAUAUAAAGGGAAAUUUUACUUUUUAU